This is a small nucleolar RNA of Spea bombifrons (plains spadefoot toad), 83 nucleotides long. RefSeq annotates it as small nucleolar RNA snR60/Z15/Z230/Z193/J17. The record is from RefSeq and is a predicted model, not a curated record. The transcript has a single exon. NCBI's taxonomy places the organism in Eukaryota, Metazoa, Chordata, Amphibia, Anura, Pelobatidae.
UGUGACAUAAGGAUGAUAACAUAGUUCAGCAGAUGAACACUGAUGAACUGAACAUGUCUUUCGCUCCUAUCUGAAAUGUCACA